RNAcentral lists this ribosomal RNA (101 nucleotides) under Lepisosteus oculatus (spotted gar). The record is from RNAcentral. Lineage: Eukaryota; Metazoa; Chordata; Actinopteri; Semionotiformes; Lepisosteidae.
GCCAGCAGGUAUAUCACCCUGCAACUCACAGCUCCGCAGGUGUGAGCCUGGCCAGUACCUGGGUGGGAGACCUCCUGGGAAAGCCAAGGCUGCUGCUGGAA